RNAcentral lists this ribosomal RNA (468 nucleotides) under uncultured bacterium. Its description in RNAcentral is "partial 16S ribosomal RNA". It matches the Rfam family "Bacterial small subunit ribosomal RNA", at positions 28 to 507 of the family's 1533-position model. The record is from RNAcentral.
GACGAACGCUGGCGGCGUGCUUAACACAUGCAAGUCGAACGGAAAGGCCCUGCUUUUGUGGGGUGCUCGAGUGGCGAACGGGUGAGUAACACGUGAGUAACCUGCCCUUGACUUUGGGAUAACUUCAGGAAACUGGGGCUAAUACCGGAUAGGAGCUCCUGCUCCAGGGUGGGGGUUGGAAAGUUUCGGCGGUUGGGGAUGGACUCGCGGCUUAUCAGCUUGUUGGUGGGGUAGUGGCUUACCAAGGCUUUGACGGGUAGCCGGCCUGAGAGGGUGACCGGCCACCUUGGGACUGAGAUACGGCCCAGACUCCUACGGGAGGCAGCAGUGGGGAAUAUUGCACAAUGGGCGCAAGCCUGAUGCAGCAACGCCGCGUGCGGGAUGACGGCCUUCGGGUUGUAAACCGCUUUCGCCUGUGACGAAGCGUGAGUGACGGUAAUGGGUAAAGAAGCACCGGCUAACUACGUG